Molecule: long non-coding RNA, 285 nt
Filed under: Actinidia chinensis (golden kiwifruit)
Lineage: Eukaryota; Viridiplantae; Streptophyta; Magnoliopsida; Ericales; Actinidiaceae
Description: long non-coding RNA (ACHI_LNC000838)
Source: RNAcentral
CAUGCUACUAGAAGAAAUUCGGGAAGCCUGCUAAGAGGGUUGAUACGAUCUGCCUCAACCUUCAAGCUAAGAUGCUCCAUUAGCAUCAAAUUACUUUUCACCAAUUUUACUUCCAUUAUAGUUCACACCAAAAUCAAGAGACGAGAGUAAUUCCAAAAUGUAAGAGAACCACAGUUAAGAAUGUUGCUUUGUGAAUUAUUUUUUAAUCUUUUUUUGACCGAAUGAAAGGAGUUCAUUAAUAGGAUGUGCGUUUGUUUUUUCUUUAGGUGUCCUGGCUUUGCCCCA